This 416-nucleotide ribosomal RNA is filed under the name uncultured bacterium. RNAcentral describes it as "bacterial SSU rRNA". It matches the Rfam family "Bacterial small subunit ribosomal RNA", at positions 362 to 775 of the family's 1533-position model. The record is from RNAcentral.
UAUUGGUCAAUGGGCGGAAGCCUGAACCAGCCAUGCCGCGUGCAGGAUGACUGCCCUAUAUUUUGUAAACUGCUUUUGUCCAGGAAUAAACCUAGAUACGUGUAUCUGGCUGAAUGUACUGGAAGAAUAAGGAUCGGCUAACUCCGUGCCAGCAGCCGCGGUAAUACGGAGGAUCCGAGCGUUAUCCGGAUUUAUUGGGUUUAAAGGGUGCGUAGGCGGCCUGUUAAGUCAGGGGUGAAAUACGGUGGCUCAACCAUCGCAGUGCCUUUGAUACUGACGGGCUUGAAUCCAUUUGAAGUGGGCGGAAUAAGACAAGUAGCAGUGAAAUGCAUAGAUAUGUCUUAGAACUCCGAUUGCGAAGGCAGCUCACUAAGCUGGUAUUGACGCUGAUGCACGAAAGCGUGGGGAUCGAACAG